This 492-nucleotide ribosomal RNA is filed under the name uncultured bacterium. RNAcentral's name for it is "partial 16S ribosomal RNA". It matches the Rfam family "Bacterial small subunit ribosomal RNA", at positions 29 to 507 of the family's 1533-position model. The record is from RNAcentral.
AGUGAACGCUGGCGGUAGGCCUAACACAUGCAAGUCGAACGGCAGCACAGUAAGAGCUUGCUCUUACGGGUGGCGAGUGGCGGACGGGUGAGGAAUACAUCGGAAUCUACUUUUUCGUGGGGGAUAACGUAGGGAAACUUACGCUAAUACCGCAUACGACCUACGGGUGAAAGCAGGGGAUCUUCGGACCUUGCGCGAUUGAAUGAGCCGAUGUCGGAUUAGCUAGUUGGCGGGGUAAAGGCCCACCAAGGCGACGAUCCGUAGCUGGUCUGAGAGGAUGAUCAGCCACACUGGAACUGAGACACGGUCCAGACUCCUACGGGAGGCAGCAGUGGGGAAUAUUGGACAAUGGGCGCAAGCCUGAUCCAGCAAUACCGCGUGGGUGAAGAAGGCCUUCGGGUUGUAAAGCCCUUUUGUUGGGAAAGAAAAGCAGCAGGUUAAUACCCCGCUGCUCUGACGGUACCCAAAGAAUAAGCACCGGCUAACUUCGUG